AGUGAACGCUGGCGGUAGGCCUAACACAUGCAAGUCGAACGGCAGCACAGUAAGAGCUUGCUCUUACGGGUGGCGAGUGGCAGACGGGUGAGGAAUACAUCGGAAUCUACUUUUUCGUGGGGGAUAACGUAGGGAAACUUACGCUAAUACCGCAUACGACCUACGGGUGAAAGCAGGGGAUCUUCGGACCUUGCGCGAUUGAAUGAGCCGAUGUCGGAUUAGCUAGUUGGCGGGGUAAAGGCCCACCAAGGCGACGAUCCGUAGCUGGUCUGAGAGGAUGAUCAGCCACACUGAAAGUGAGACACGGUCCAGACUCCUACGGGAGGCAGCAGUGGGAAUAUUGGACAAUGGGCGCAAGCCUGAUCCAGCCAUACCGCGUGGGUGAAGAAGGCCUUCGGGUUGUAAAGCCCUUUUGUUGGGAAAGAAAAGCAGCAGGUUAAUACCCCGCUGUUCUGACGGUACCCAAAGAAUAAGCACCGGCUAACUUCGUG
This 491-nucleotide ribosomal RNA is filed under the name uncultured bacterium. RNAcentral describes it as "partial 16S ribosomal RNA". It matches the Rfam family "Bacterial small subunit ribosomal RNA", at positions 29 to 507 of the family's 1533-position model. The record is from RNAcentral.